Molecule: unclassified non-coding RNA, 336 nt
Filed under: soil metagenome
Description: partial contains 5.8S ribosomal RNA, internal transcribed spacer 2, and large subunit ribosomal RNA
Rfam family: 5.8S ribosomal RNA (bases 1-120)
Source: RNAcentral
GAUGAAGAACGUAGCGAAAUGCGAUAAGUAAUGUGAAUUGCAGAAUUCAGUGAAUCAUCGAAUCUUUGAACGCACAUUGCGCCCGCCAGUAUUCUGGCGGGCAUGCCUGUUCGAGCGUCAUUUCAACCAUCAAGCCCCCGGCUUGUGUUGGGGACCUGCGGCUGCCGCAGGCCCUGAAAAGCAGUGGCGGGCUCGCUGUCACACCGAGCGUAGUAGAUUUCAUCUCGCUCAGGGCGUGCUGCGGGUUACGGCCGUUAAACCACCUUCAUAACCCAAGGUUGACCUCGGAUCAGGUAGGAAGACCCGCUGAACUUAAGCAUAUCAAUAAGCGGAGGA